UUUCCGUAGGUGAACCUGCGGAAGGAUCAUUGUCGAAACCUGCCCAGCAGAACGACUCGAGAACCUGUGAACCCCCGGCGCGGAACGCGCCAAGGACUACUCAAAUGAGACCGUCGGGCCAUCGUGCCCCGUUCGCGGGCGCAUAGGUGGCGUGGCGUCUUUAUUAACAUAAAUGACUCUCGGCAACGGAUAUCUCGGCUCUCGCAUCGAUGAAGAACGUAGCGGAAUGCGAUACUUGGUGUGAAUUGCAGAAUCCCGUGAACCAUCGAGUCUUUGAACGCAAGUUGCGCCCAAUGCCGUCAGGCUGAGGGCACGUCUGCCUGGGCGUCACGCAUCGCGUCGCCCCCCUCCUGUUGCGGAGCGGGGAGCGGAGGAUGGCCUCCCGUGCCCAAACUUGGAUGUGGCUGGCCGAAAUGUUGGUCCUUGACGACAAACGUCACAACGAGUGGUGGUCGUACCUAGCGUGCUUAUCGUCGCGUCGUGACCUGUUGUCUUGCGAUUUUGACCCUUUUGAGCUGGUGUGAGCUAGCUCUCUGACCGCGACCCCAGGUCAGGCGGGACUACCCGCUGAGUUUAA
This 577-nucleotide ribosomal RNA is filed under the name Cuscuta lupuliformis. Its description in RNAcentral is "eukaryotic LSU rRNA". The stretch from base 175 to 330 matches the Rfam family "5.8S ribosomal RNA". Lineage: Eukaryota; Viridiplantae; Streptophyta; Magnoliopsida; Solanales; Convolvulaceae. The record is from RNAcentral.